Limulus polyphemus (Atlantic horseshoe crab) is the source of this 311-nucleotide long non-coding RNA. RefSeq lists it as uncharacterized. The record is from RefSeq and is a predicted model, not a curated record. The transcript is spliced from 4 exons. Lineage: Eukaryota; Metazoa; Arthropoda; Merostomata; Xiphosura; Limulidae.
AUACAUCUAGGUUACGCUGAAAUACAACAUUCCGAACUCCAGUACAUUUGACAGCGAAGACUUUACCAUCAGUGGUUCAAACUCCACCUCUGACUGCAAAGAAAGUACUAUACACUUUUGUGUCAGACAACCACAAUCUUUAGAAACUCCCGGGAUGUCUGUCGUCGAUAUUAAUAUGGUUUCUGGUUAUACUCCAGAAAAGACAUCUUUACAAAAGCUUGUUCUCAAUGAAUCAUCUGAGAUAAAGCGUUUCGAAGUGGAGAAGAAUAAUGUGUACCUGUAUUUCACAGAGCGUCCCAAGAUUCGCAGAU